This 551-nucleotide ribosomal RNA is filed under the name uncultured bacterium. Its description in RNAcentral is "partial 16S ribosomal RNA". It matches the Rfam family "Bacterial small subunit ribosomal RNA", at positions 356 to 920 of the family's 1533-position model. The record is from RNAcentral.
GGGGAAUAUUGCACAAUGGGCGAAAGCCUGAUGCAGCAACGCCGCGUGAGUGAUGAAGGUCUUCGGAUUGUAAAGCUCUGUCUUUUGGGACGAUAAUGACGGUACCAAAGGAGGAAGCCACGGCUAACUACGUGCCAGCAGCCGCGGUAAUACGUAGGUGGCGAGCGUUGUCCGGAUUUACUGGGCGUAAAGGGUGCGUAGGCGGAUGUUUAAGUGAGAUGUGAAAUACCCGGGCUUAACUUGGGUGCUGCAUUUCAAACUGGAUAUCUAGAGUGCAGGAGAGGAGAAUGGAAUUCCUAGUGUAGCGGUGAAAUGCGUAGAGAUUAGGAAGAACACCAGUGGCGAAGGCGAUUCUCUGGACUGUAACUGACGCUGAGGCACGAAAGCGUGGGUAGCAAACAGGAUUAGAUACCCUGGUAGUCCACGCCGUAAAACGAUGAGUACUAGGUGUAGGAGGUAUCGACCCCUUCUGUGCCGCAGUAAACACAUUAAGUACUCCGCCUGGGAAGUACGAUCGCAAGAUUAAAACUCUAAAGUGAAUUGACGGGGUC